Molecule: long non-coding RNA, 386 nt
Organism: Ostrea edulis (European flat oyster)
Lineage: Eukaryota; Metazoa; Mollusca; Bivalvia; Ostreida; Ostreidae
Exons: 3
Source: RefSeq, a predicted model, not a curated record
CUGGUAUUGCAAAUUACUGUAACACGUUGCAAAAAUGGCCCAACGUGGUGGACAAAGAGGACGAGGAGGACGUGGAGGUAUUCAUGGACACGAUAAACCCCUGAAGGUGUUGAUGGGAUGUUCAAAACAAGAUCUAGAAAGAUUUCUCGCAAUUGCACGAAAUUUAGCUGAGCAUGAUGAACAGGAAGCACACGAGCACUUUUGGACUGUAACUGCGAACACAAUACAAUCCCUCAUUGACGCUAAGAAGUGAUAGAUAGAUACCAAUGACUUUGACAUUGGACCUCCCGCUACACAGAUCUUUCUCUAUUUCUAUGUAUAUAUGUUUAUCAGUGUGAUUGUAUCUUGACUUUUGAUAACCACGCAGUAAAGAAAAACAUCUGAAA